Molecule: long non-coding RNA, 352 nt
Filed under: Mus musculus (house mouse)
Lineage: Eukaryota; Metazoa; Chordata; Mammalia; Rodentia; Muridae
Description: ilncRNA-EC78
Source: RNAcentral
GCAGCGUUCCUCCAUGGUCUCUGCUUCAGUUCCUGCCUCCAGGUUCCUGUCUCAAGCUCCUGCACUGACUCCCCUCAAGCAGGGACUGUAAACUGUAAGCUGAAACAAAUCCCCACUCCACCCAAGGAGCUUCGGUCCCAGGUAUGGCUCCCGGGAAAGGACAAACAAGCGCUGUUGUACAUGUGUCUUCAAUGGAUGGAUCCCAUCCCUACCACCGUUUAAAUCGGAGAUCUUAUUCAGAAAUUCCCAAGUUAAGCUUUCCCAAGCACAAACAGAAUUGAAAUUUGUAUUCCAAAAAAUUUAAUGACAUGAAAAGUAUAUAUGAGACUUAAUAAACUGUUUGGCUGUGGUU